UACGUAGGGUGCGAGCGUUGUCCGGAAUUAUUGGGCGUAAAGAGCUUGUAGGUGGUUUGUCGCGUCUGCUGUGAAAAUCCGGGGCUCAACCCCGGACUUGCAGUGGGUACGGGCAGACUAGAGUGUGGUAGGGGAGACUGGAAUUCCUGGUGUAGCGGUGGAAUGCGCAGAUAUCAGGAGGAACACCGAUGGCGAAGGCAGGUCUCUGGGCC
Molecule: ribosomal RNA, 212 nt
Filed under: uncultured bacterium
Lineage: Bacteria
Description: partial 16S ribosomal RNA
Rfam family: Bacterial small subunit ribosomal RNA
Source: RNAcentral